GGAGGAUGAGCGUGCCGGUUUCGCUUGUUCCCGGUAGUCGUCAGCGUUCGGCUCCGUUGGUGAAAAUUCUCCGCUCCCCUAGUUGGAGACCUGGGCAGAGUGGUGGCGGCCGGACGGCCCUAGGAAAAAGAAAGAAAGCAGCUUCCUUCCCCACGAAGAUGGGACGUUUCAAAUGUUUCAUUAGUCCCCAGCUUUCUCCGCGUUUCCUGCUAACACAAUGAAAGGGAAUCAGCAUGGUGGUGGCGCACGCCUGUAAUCCCAGCACUCGGGAGGCAGAGGCAGGCGGAUCUCUUGAGUUUGGGGCCAGCCUGGUCUACAAAGAGAGUUCUGGGACAGACAGGGCUACGUAUACAAACCAUGUAUCAAAAAAUGAGACGAUUCUAGAACAUGUCCAGGAACCCCUGUCUUCACAAGUAUGAAGCUGCCCUGUUGAACAUCUGCCGAGAAUGCUAAAUAUGGUGGCUCAUGCCUUUUCUCAGGAUUCAGAGGCGGGGAUCACUGUGAAGGCAGGCUUGGUCUGCGAGUGCCAGAGCUGCAAUAGAGACCCUGUCUCAAAAAAAAAAAAAAAAAAAAAAAA
This is a long non-coding RNA of Mus musculus (house mouse), 577 nucleotides long. RefSeq annotates it as predicted gene, 53713. Lineage: Eukaryota; Metazoa; Chordata; Mammalia; Rodentia; Muridae. The record is from RefSeq and is a predicted model, not a curated record. The transcript has 2 exons.